AUUGAACGCUGGCGGCAGGCCCAACACAUGCAAGUCGAGCGGAUGAAGGGAGCUUGCUCCUGGAUUCAGCGGCGGACGGGUGAGUAAUGCCUAGGAAUCUGCCUGGUAGUGGGGGAUAACGUCCGGAAACGGGCGCUAAUACCGCAUACGUCCUGAGGGAGAAAGUGGGGGAUCUUCGGACCUCACGCUAUCAGAUGAGCCUAGGUCGGAUUAGCUAGUUGGUGGGGUAAAGGCCUACCAAGGCGACGAUCCGUAACUGGUCUGAGAGGAUGAUCAGUCACACUGGAACUGAGACACGGUCCAGACUCCUACGGGAGGCAGCAGUGGGGAAUAUUGGACAAUGGGCGAAAGCCUGAUCCAGCCAUGCCGCGUGUGUGAAGAAGGUCUUCGGAUUGUAAAGCACUUUAAGUUGGGAGGAAGGGCAGUAAGUUAAUACCUUGCUGUUUUGACGUUACCAACAGAAUAAGCACCGGCUAACUUCGU
This 483-nucleotide ribosomal RNA is filed under the name uncultured bacterium. Its description in RNAcentral is "partial 16S ribosomal RNA". It matches the Rfam family "Bacterial small subunit ribosomal RNA", at positions 30 to 506 of the family's 1533-position model. The record is from RNAcentral.